AUAAAUUCCAUCCAAGGAUAAAUAUGGGUGAGAGACCGUUAGCAAAAAAUUACCGCAAAGGAAAGAUGUAAAAGAACUUUGAAAAGAAAGUCACAGAGUGCUUGAAAUUGUCGGGAGGAAAGUAGAUGGGGGCUGGCAAUGCACCUUGGUCGGAUGCGGAAUGAUGAGAGUCAGUCUACUGAUUGACUCGGGGAGUGGACCGAUACGGAUUGCAUUUGUAGCCUAAGCCCGGGCUAUAGAUAUGCCCAUGGAGACUUCAUCGCCAUGAUCAUGGUGGGCAGCGCGCAGUGUCAUGGCGUGCUUCGGCACCUGCUCGCUCCUGGCGUCGACCUGUGGGUCCCCCAUUUGGCCCGUCUUGAAACACGGACCAAGGAGUCUAACAUGUGUCGGAGUCAACAAGCCAAUAAACCUGUAAGGUGCAAGGAAACUGAAUGGCAGGACCUCAUGCUGGUUGCACCACCAACUGACCUUGAUCUUCUAAGAAGUCGACUGAUAGCAUGCCUGUCGGGACCCAAAAGAUGGUGAACUGUGCCUGAGCAGGACAAAGCAAGAGGAAACUCUAGUGGAGGCCUACAGCGAUACUGACAUGUAAAUCGUUCAUCUAACUUGGGUAUAGGGACAAAAGACUAAUUGAACUAUCUAGUAGUUGGUUCCCUCCGAAGUUUCCCUUAGGAUAGCUGGAGCCUGCGGACGAGUUCUAUCAGGUAAAGCCAAUGAUUAGAGGCAUCAUGGGUGCAAUGCCCUCAACCUAUUCUCAAACUUUAAAUAGGUAGCACGAUGCAGUUGCUUCGUUGACUCAGAAUUGGUAAGGACAAGGGAAAUCUGACUGUUUAAUUAAAAUAAUGCAUUGCGAUGGUCCCUGCGGAUGCUCACGCAAUGUGAUUUCUACCUAAUACUCUGAAUAUCAAAGUGAAGAAAUUCAACCAAGCGCAAGUAAACAGCGGGAGUAACUAUGACUCUCUUAAGGUAGCCAAAUUCCUCCUCACUUAAUUAGUGAUGCUCAUGAAUGGAUUACUGAGAUUCCCACUGUCCCUGUCUACUAUCCAGCAAAACCACAACCAAGGGAAAGGGCCUGGCAGAAUCAGUGGGGAAAGAAGACCCUGUUGAGCUUGACUCUAGUCCCACUUUGUGAAAUGACUUGAGAGGUGUAGUAUAAGUGGGAGCUAGAAACAGCGAAAGUGAAAUACCAGUACUGUUAACGUUAUUUUACUUAUUCCAUGAAUUGGAAGGGGGGAACUGCCCCACUUUUUGGACCCAAGGUUAGCCUCGAUGGGCCGAUCCAGGUGGAAGAAAUCGUCAGGUGGGGAGUUUGGCUGGGAUAGCACAUCUGUUAAAAGAUAACGCAGGUGUCCUAAGAUGAGCUCAAUGAGAAUGGAAAUCUCAUAUGGAAUGAAAGGGUAAAAAGCCCGUUUGAUUCUGACUACCAGUACGAAUACGAACCAUGAAAGCGUGGCCUAUCGAUCCUUUAGACCUUCGAAAUUUGAAGCUAGAGGUCUCAGAAAAGUUACCACAAGGAUAACUGGCUUGUGGCAGCCAAGCAUUCACAGCAACGUUGCUUUUUGAUCCUUCGAUGUUAGCUCUUCCUAUCAUUGUGAAGCAGAAUUCACGAAGUGUUGGAUUGUUCAUCCACGAAUAGGGAACCUGAACAAGGUUUAGAGCAUCAUGAGAUAGGUUAGCUUUACCCUACUGAUGACAAUGUCACAAUAGUAAUUCAACCUAGUACGAGAGGAACCGUUGAUUCACACGAUUAGCCAUCACGCUUGGUUGAAAAGCUAGUGGCACGAAGCCACCAUGCGCUGGAUUAUGAAUGAAUGCCUCUAAGUCUGAAUCCAGGCUAGAAGCAAUGCAUGCCCUGCCACCCAUUUACCGACCUGCAGUAGGGGCCUCAGCUCCUGAAAGAAAGUGUCGUUGUCCAAGCCCAUCAGCUCUGACAUCAGACAUAUUAGACAUAAGUUAGCUUAGACAUUAGAAAUCAGUUAGCUUAGUUGUCAAACUAGUCAACUCGUUUCCUAAUUUGUGUUUGACUUUUUUAUUUUU
This 2037-nucleotide ribosomal RNA is filed under the name Ziziphus jujuba (common jujube). RNAcentral's name for it is "eukaryotic LSU rRNA". It matches the Rfam family "Eukaryotic large subunit ribosomal RNA". Lineage: Eukaryota; Viridiplantae; Streptophyta; Magnoliopsida; Rosales; Rhamnaceae. The record is from RNAcentral.